AGUGAACGCUGGCGGCAGGCCUAAUACAUGCAAGUCGAACGGCAGCACAGCAGAGCUUGCUCUGUGGGUGGCGAGUGGCGGACGGGUGAGGAAUACAUGGGAAUCUGCCCAGUCGUGGGGGAUAACGUAUGGAAACGUACGCUAAUACCGCAUGCGCCCUAAGGGGGAAAGCCGGGGACCGCAAGGCCUGGCGCGAUUGGAUGAGCCCAUGUUCGAUUAGCUAGUUGGCGGGGUAAAGGCCCACCAAGGCGACGAUCGAUAGCUGGUCUGAGAGGAUGAUCAGCCACACUGGAACUGAGACACGGUCCAGACUCCUACGGGAGGCAGCAGUAGGGAAUAUUGGACAAUGGGCGCAAGCCUGAUCCAGCCAUGCCGCGUGAGUGAAGAAGGCCCUCGGGUUGUAAAGCUCUUUUGUUGGGGAAGAAAAGCAUCUGGUUAAUACCCGGGUGUUCUGACGGUACCCAAAGAAUAAGCACCGGCUAACUUCGUGCC
This 492-nucleotide ribosomal RNA is filed under the name uncultured bacterium. RNAcentral's name for it is "bacterial SSU rRNA". It matches the Rfam family "Bacterial small subunit ribosomal RNA", at positions 29 to 509 of the family's 1533-position model. The record is from RNAcentral.